Molecule: ribosomal RNA, 555 nt
Filed under: uncultured Thelephoraceae
Lineage: Eukaryota; Fungi; Basidiomycota; Agaricomycetes; Thelephorales; Thelephoraceae
Description: eukaryotic LSU rRNA
Rfam family: 5.8S ribosomal RNA (bases 146-300)
Source: RNAcentral
CUGUUCACACAUCCACUCGACCCGUUACCCUCUGUAGUUCUAUGGCGUGGGGGACCUUGUCCUCCUGCUGUGGUUCCGCAUCUUUACAACACACAAUGUGAUAUAGUCUCAUGGAAUGUACAUCGCGUUUAACGCAAUACAAUACAACUUUCAGCAACGGAUCUCUUGGCUCUCGCAUCGAUGAAGAACGCAGCGAAAUGCGAUAAGUAAUGUGAAUUGCAGAAUUCAGUGAAUCAUCGAAUCUUUGAACGCACCUUGCGCCCUUUGGCUAUUCCGAAGGGCAUGCCUGUUUGAGUAUCAUGAACACCUCAACUCUCAUGGUUUGCCGUGAUGAGCUUGGACUUUGGGAGCUUUGCUGGCCUACGGUCAGCUCUCCUCAAAUGAAUCAGCUUGCCAGUGUUUUGGUGGCAUUCACGGGUGUGAUAAAUAUCUACGCUUGUGGGUUCCCAUCAGGCAACCUUCAGUGAUGGAGGUUCUCUGGAGCUUAUAAACGUCUCUCUUAUCGAGGACAGCUUUUUGAAGUUUGAUCUCAAAUCAGGUAGGACUACCCGCUGA